This 518-nucleotide ribosomal RNA is filed under the name uncultured bacterium. Its description in RNAcentral is "partial 16S ribosomal RNA". It matches the Rfam family "Bacterial small subunit ribosomal RNA", at positions 355 to 865 of the family's 1533-position model. The record is from RNAcentral.
UGGGGAAUAUUGCACAAUGGGCGCAAGCCUGAUGCAGCCAUGCCGCGUGUGUGAAGAAGGCCUUCGGGUUGUAAAGCACUUUCAGCGAGGAGGAAGGUGGUGAGCUUAAUACGCUCAUCAAUUGACGUUACUCGCAGAAGAAGCACCGGCUAACUCCGUGCCAGCAGCCGCGGUAAUACGGAGGGUGCAAGCGUUAAUCGGAAUUACUGGGCGUAAAGCGCACGCAGGCGGUUUGUUAAGUCAGAUGUGAAAUCCCCGGGCUCAACCUGGGAACUGCAUUUGAAACUGGCAAGCUAGAGUCUCGUAGAGGGGGGUAGAAUUCCAGGUGUAGCGGUGAAAUGCGUAGAGAUCUGGAGGAAUACCGGUGGCGAAGGCGGCCCCCUGGACGAAGACUGACGCUCAGGUGCGAAAGCGUGGGGAGCAAACAGAUUAGAUACCCUGGUAGUCCACGCUGUAAACGAUGUCGAUUUUGGAGGUUGUGCCCCUUGAGGCGUGCUUCCGGAGCUAACGCGUUAAAG